Molecule: ribosomal RNA, 492 nt
Filed under: uncultured bacterium
Lineage: Bacteria
Description: partial 16S ribosomal RNA
Rfam family: Bacterial small subunit ribosomal RNA
Source: RNAcentral
AGUGAACGCUGGCGGUAGGCCUAACACAUGCAAGUCGAACGGCAGCACAGUAAGAGCUUGCUCUUACGGGUGGCGCGUGGCGGACGGGUGAGGAAUACAUCGGAAUCUACUUUUUCGUGGGGGAUAACGUAGGGAAACUUACGCUAAUACCGCAUACGACCUACGGGUGAAAGCAGGGGAUCUUCGGACCUUGCGCGAUUGAAUGAGCCGAUGUCGGAUUAGCUAGUUGGCGGGGUAAAGGCCCACCAAGGCGACGAUCCGUAGCUGGUCUGAGAGGAUGAGCAGCCACGCUGGAACUGGGACACGGUCCAGACUACUACGGGAGGCAGCAGGGGGGAAUAUUGGACAAUGGGCGCAAGCCUGAUCCAGCCAUACCGCGUGGGUGAAGAAGGCCGUCGGGUUGUAAAGCCCUUUUGUGGGGAAAGAAAAUCAGCAGGUUAAUACCCCGCUGUUCUGACGGGACCCAAAGAAUAAGCACCGGCUAACUUCGUG